GACGAACGCUGGCGGCGUGCCUAAUACAUGCAAGUUGAGCGCUGAAGGUUGGUACUUGUACCGACUGGAUGAGCAGCGAACGGGUGAGUAACGCGUGGGUAAUCUGCCUUUGAGCGGGGGACAACAUUGGGAAACGAAUGCUAAUACCGCAUAAAAUCUUUAAACACAAGUUUUAAUUUUGAAAGAUGCAAUUGCAUCACUCAAAGAUGAUCCCGCGUUGUAUUAGCUAGUUGGUGAGGUAAAGGCUCAACAAGGCGAUGAUACAUAGCCGACCUGAGAGGGUGGUUGGCCAAAUUGGGAACGGGAACACGCCCCAAACCCCUCGGGAGGCAGCAGUAGGGAAUCUUCGGCAAUGGACGAAAGUCUGAACGAGCAAAGCCGCGUGAGUGAAGAAGGUUUUCGGAUUGUAAAAAUCUGUUGGUAGAGAAGAAAGUUGGUGAGAGUGGAAAGCUCAUCAAGUGACGGUAACUAACCAGAAAGGGACGGCUAACUACGUG
This 497-nucleotide ribosomal RNA is filed under the name uncultured bacterium. Its description in RNAcentral is "partial 16S ribosomal RNA". It matches the Rfam family "Bacterial small subunit ribosomal RNA", at positions 28 to 507 of the family's 1533-position model. The record is from RNAcentral.